CGAGCGCUGUCCUGCUGCGCGGCGCUGCGGCCGUGUGAGCUGUGGAGCGCGUGUGCCAGAGAGCCCCGGGUGGUUCUGGUGCCUGACCCGAACUACGAGGAUUCCGAGAAGAGUGUAACGCUUCACUUGCAGGCAUGUUCCCUCACCCCGUCGUGCCUGACACACAAACUCAGGUGGAUCAAUUUCCUGAACUCCUUUGUCUGCAGGACCAGAAAUUGCAAGUCUUGGGCGAGCCUUUCUGCUGUGUCUAUGAAGCAUGUUCCUGCCUUCCUGCCUGCGCCUUCACUGCGCCACUCAUGCCUCAGCCCUAUCCCAUCCCGCUCCAUUUUACCAUGGAUGGAUUAUUUCCUGUCUUCCCAUUCCUGCUCUAUCCCUGGGCCCUCAGCAUGCUCCCCUGUGCUAGGCCGCAGAGUUGGCCUUGGCUACGAUGUUGCCACCGCCGCGUGUAUGGGAAUAUUGAUUUUACAGUGUGUGUGCUCUGUAAAAAAUCAAUAUUUCAGUAGAUUGAGCAGAGCAUGCGGCAGUGUAAUGGAGCCCAGCCUGCUAAUGUAACAUGCAGGGGUCCUCAUUCAGAGAUUGAGGUCAGUCAGAAAAUGGAAAUGUGUUUUCUUGUUUUAUUGUCUGUUUCAGAUUUAAUGUAGGUGUUUAUGUUCUCGUGUUUAACCUAUAGCGGGCAUAGAGUUGCUUUAAAGUCACAUCCAACAGAAUGUCACGCAUUUCACGCGACAUGCAUAAAGACGUGCCUCAUAUGGACAGCCCAUUUUUAGAGUUUAGUAAUCCCCCUCUCCCCCUUUCCCACCACGUGUCUGUUAAACAACAGUUGAGAGGAGAAAUUAGUCAUUUUUGUUUCUUCAAAUAAAAAAUAGUUUUCUGUCA
Meleagris gallopavo (turkey) is the source of this 876-nucleotide non-coding RNA. Lineage: Eukaryota; Metazoa; Chordata; Aves; Galliformes; Phasianidae. The record is from RefSeq and is a predicted model, not a curated record.